Molecule: ribosomal RNA, 253 nt
Filed under: uncultured bacterium
Lineage: Bacteria
Description: partial 16S ribosomal RNA
Rfam family: Bacterial small subunit ribosomal RNA
Source: RNAcentral
GACAGAGGGUGCAAACGUUGUUCGGAUUUACUGGGCGUAAAGCGUGUGUAGGCGGCUUGGCAAGUUGGAUGUGAAAGCCCACGGCUCAACCGUGGAAGCGCACCCAAAACUGCUUCGCUCGAGUCUCGGAGGGGAAGGUGGAAUGCUUGGUGUAGAGGUGAAAUUCGUAGAUAUCAAGCAGAACACCUGCGGCGAAGGCGGCCUUCUGGACGAUGACUGACGCUGAGACACGAAAGCGUGGGGAGCGAACAGG